This 66-nucleotide transfer RNA is filed under the name Eremias velox (rapid racerunner). RNAcentral's name for it is "tRNA-Pro". Lineage: Eukaryota; Metazoa; Chordata; Lepidosauria; Squamata; Lacertidae. The record is from RNAcentral.
CAGAAGAUAGUUUAAUAAAAAUACUGGCUUUGGGGGCUAGUGAUAAGGAGAUAUCCUUUCUUUUGA